This 187-nucleotide ribosomal RNA is filed under the name uncultured bacterium. Its description in RNAcentral is "partial 16S ribosomal RNA". The record is from RNAcentral.
CUCCUUUCGGGGAGCCAGCCGUAGGGGAAUUUUUCGGCCAUGGAGCGACAAGUCCUGACGCCCGCACCGCCCGGCGGGGUGUGAAGGAAGGCCCUUCGGGUCUGUAAAAGCUCUGUUAUUCGGGGAGGAGCAAACUCUAGUUGAAUAAUGCUGGCAUCCUGANCGUACCAGCCAUAGCCAGUCUGAA